Gallus gallus (chicken) is the source of this 12987-nucleotide long non-coding RNA. RefSeq lists it as uncharacterized. The transcript is spliced from 3 exons. NCBI's taxonomy places the organism in Eukaryota, Metazoa, Chordata, Aves, Galliformes, Phasianidae. The record is from RefSeq and is a predicted model, not a curated record.
GGUACGGGAGAGGCGUAGGGCUGCUCGCCGCUAGGGCCGGCCUUCCCGCCUCGUUCCUUCGGGGCCCGCUGCAGGCGGUGACAGAUCCCUGCUCCCAAAUCCAAGCCCUGGUUCUUUCGCGAGGUACUCCCGUGGAGCCCGACGUGAGCUCGUCCCCUCCCCGGUUUGCUCUGUGAGGGACUUCUUGACUCCCCAGGUCCUCGGUGCUAUUUCUUCUAAGAGAAGCUGAACUUCUAACACACAGGGUUCAGGAGGACAACAUUCUGCAUGUGUACAAAUGGUCACCAGAUAAUCUCCACAAGUUACUGAAGAUGCCCUCUGACUCCUGGCUUUUCAUCAGCAAGAGACAUGGUGGAGUGAGUGAUAAACGAGUACUGCAUGUUGAUCUUUAUUAUCUUUGAAGAAUACAUCCUCGAGGAGCCUGCUAGAAAUGAACGCACUUACUUCUAAAGACAGCCGGUUAGUUUGUACCGAGAAGCAGCUCAAUUACACAAGAAAGCGUUUGGUGUGAGAUUGUUAGAGAAAGUGAAGUACAAAGGUAGCGUAGGAAGGCUUGCAGUUGGUCUGUGUGCCCGCCAGGAGGCACGGCAAGCUUGGGCUGCAGCUUGUUCAUAGUGCUGAGCAGAUCAGUAACGAAGGGAAGCAAAAGUUUUCCUCUGGUUUUUGCAUCCGGAAGAAGGAAAUUGAGAGAUUUCUAAUGAAUAUAUAGAAUAAAAAUGGGAGCGUGGAGAACUGGCAAGAAACUGGAGUAAUCAGAUGCAUGUGUGUUGAAACUAUCCUCCAGCCAAGGCUGUGAAUUGAAAUACACUUUGUUGCUGUUGUUCACUUUCAUAAAUGUCACAGUUGGUGUGACUGAAAACAAAAAUAUUGAUCAGUGCAUAAAGCAAUAAAGUGGCUCUUCUUAAGGUAUACAUAAGCAGCUGUGUAAGAGAACUUUCCAAAUUAGAUACCUGUGUGCACAUGUGGAAAAGGACCAAGUUCUGGUGCUGCAAACAUUUAUGCACGUGAAUCAUCAUAUCUAUUAUCUAUCAGUAUAUAUAUAUAAAAGAUUAGAAAAAGAAAACCCACACAAAGCAGACACGGACUUACCAAAAGGCACUGCACGUUUGGGACUGUGCAGCAGUCUGGUUUGGAAUAAGCUUAUCAGUUAUGUUUUGUCUCCAGUGGUGUAACUGAAUUAGGAGAAAUGAUCCCUUUCUCUGCCAGCCUAGGAGCAUGCAGAUCGCAUCUGGAACCUGAACAGUGGUGUACUCAAAGCUGCCACACGUUACAAUUUCUAUAACAUUUUAAUCAAAGCGCUCUUUCCGUCAUUUCAAAAUCAGAUGGUAAGUGAGGAAUUGAGCAUCAGAGAAGAAGCAAGCAAAAAGUUCUUUUCCCAGGCUUGAAAAGAAAAGAAAUAAGAGCACAGAAAGGAAAUAAAGAGAACCCCAAACUAUUAUUAAAGUCUCAUGAUUGUAUAUAUUUUUUUAAUUGCCAGUCUCAUGACUUUCUGGGAACUGAUUUAUUGAAAGCCUUGGUUUGGCAAUUCUGUGCUUGGCUAGCUUGGCCUUUGCCCAAGUCCCCUUUUUUUCUUGGCAGCACUUGAAACAGUUGAGCUGUGGCCCAUGCUCCUUCAUAAUCCAAGAUUGCUGUGUGCAAUGAAGAGCCCUUCAGCAGAGGAAAUGAGCACGGUGACCCCAAGCCCAGCUGGCUGCAUGUGCUGUGGGGGGCUGCUCCCCGGCACUGCCCCCUUGGUGGGCUCAGCGCAUCUGGCGCUCUGCAACUGGUGCAGAAACUCGUGUUUAUUUUAAAUCCCGUUGGUUCAGCUGGCAGUAACCCAACCGCUGGAAGCUCAGUUGUUUCGAGAGAGCUCAUCUGAUCUUUCCAAUUAUUUUGCAUUUGCAUGAGCUGCUGUACAGCAGACAGACACAGCGUGCAGCCGUCUCCUGCGGCAGCUCACGUCCCGCUGGAGCAGUGCCGCAGCAGUGCCAGGCAUUAGUGGUCGCUCAGCGAGCUCAGCAGGAAGGCAGCAAUAACACAAUGCUUCCAAUGUGCUUCACAGGCUUUGCCAGUCCUCUCUCAUUUCAAGGCAGAGCAUUGCAGGUGUAUAGAGAGUAUAGGUUUGUUUCUCUUGCACUGCUUUUAGGGCUUUCAGCCAAACUCUUGGAACACGUUGGGGUUAGUAGCCCAUAGCAGUACGACUGCUGUUCCAAGCUGCUGAGGUAGCACUCUGCCCUGUUACCUUUUAACGCACUUAGGUUUUGUAUAUACAGAAUCACGCAGUACUAAGGCUUUGCUUUGAACUGGCAGCUGUGAAGUUAGCAGCAACCAUGCCAGGACAGCAGCACAGAGCCUGGCUGACCAGCAUGGUACUGGGGCCCUGGGCAUCCCCAAGUGAAGGAGUGCCCAGCUUCGGUGUUUAUGCCCUGUGUGAUUAAGAGUGAUAAUUUAGUAAUCCUCUUAAGAGCAAAUGUCUCUUAAAGGCUUGCUGUAAGUUCCCGGUCUCACUGGUUGUCUGCAGCUGUUAUUCUAGCAUUGGUGCUUGUUGCACUUGAUAGAGCUAUGUGUAGGCUGAUGUCUUACUAAGAUGGUGGAAGCUUGAACCAUUCGCCUAUAUAAUGAAAAAGCAAAUGCUUUUCCAGAAAUUAGUGGCUGUUAAGCAGAGGGGAGGUAUCUCCUCAGCUGACAUUGUUGUAGCUGUUGCAGACCUGGUUGUCUAUAGAACCUGGAACAGGCAAUUAUGUAAUCUGAAUGUGUUUCCUUUUACACCUCUUCCUGCCCCUCUGCUCUGCAGUGCUGAAGCCUCACCUGCAGUACUGUGUCCAGAUGUGGAGUCCUCAGUACAGGAGAGACAUAGACCUGUUGGAGCAUGUCCAGAGGAGGGCCACAAAAAUGAUCCAAGGGAUGGAACACCUCUCCUAUGAGGACAGACUGAAAGAGCUGGAGCUGUUCAGCCUGGAGAACAGAAGGCUCUGAAGUGACCAGAGAUCAGCCUUUCAAUAGCUAAAGGGGAGCUACAGGAAAGGAAGGGGACAGACUCUUUAGUAUAGUCAGUUGUGACAGAACAGGGGGAAAUGGUUUCAAGCUUAAAGAGGGGAGAUUUAGGUUAGAUAUAAGGAAAAAGUCUUUUACAGUGGGGGUGGUAAGGCACAGGUUGCCCAGAGAUGUGGUGAAUACUCCAUCCUUGGAAACUUUUAAGGCGAGGCUGGAUCAGGCCCUGGGCAACCUGAUCAAGCUGUGCAUGUCCCUGUUCAUUGCAGGGGAGCUGGACUAGAUGGCCCUCAGAGGUCACUUCCAACUCUAAGGAUUCUAGGAUUCUGUGAUUCUCGUGAUGCUGCUUUAAUAGUUCAAAGGGUAUGUAUGAAACACUAGAAUUUCCAUCAAACAUAUGAAUAGUUUUGUUCUAAAGACUUGCUCCCACUGCACAGACAACCACAAUGCUAUCACAGAACAGCCUAAGUAAAAACUCAAGUUUUUACAUGUACUAUUACGAAUACCAUAUUUUACUGAAUCAAAAAGUCAUAGGUUCAAACACAAGGACACCGAACUCUCUGCUUUUAUUUGAUGCUUGUAUUUAAUAAUUAUGGAGGUGACUAUCCCUCUGUACUUGCCACUGGUAAGGCUGCAUCUCAAGUACUGUAUUCAGUUUUGGGCUCCUCACUACAGGAAAGACACCGAGGUCCUGGAGUGUGUUCAGAGAAGGGCAGUAAAGCUGUGAAGGGUCUGGAGCACAGGGCUUAUGGGGAGUGGCUGAGGGAGCUGGGAUUGUUCAAUCUGGAGAAGAGGAGGCUCAGGGGAGACCUUAUAGCUCUCUGCAACUGCCUGAAAGGAUGAGAUGGAAUGGGCUCAAGUUGCACUGUGGGUUGGGUGGGGGGGUGUUCAGAUUGGUUUAUAGGAAAGAUUUCUUCUCAGGAAGAGUGGUGAGGCAGUGGCACAGGCUGCCCAGGGAGGUGGUGCCGUCGCCAUCCCUGGAGGUGUUCAAGAAGUGUGGAGAUGUGGCACUGAGAGAUGUGGUUAGUGGGCAUGGUGGGGCUGGUUUAUCAUUGGACUGGAUGAUCUUAGUAAUCUUUUCCAACCUUAAUGACUCUAUGAUUCUAUUUGAUUAUAAAUACAAUAGAAAGCAGAUACAGCAGCACCCCUGUACACCAGAGCCUGACCUCUGGAUCUGUUUCAGAGGAAGAAUGCAGAGCUUUCAUUGAAAGGAUACUGAGAUACACUCAUGCACAUUGCAUGAGAAACCAAGCCCACCCACAUCCUCAUCUGCAGUGCGCAUCUUCCUCUGCUUUACGAGAAAAAAAAUCUGGAAGAAAUCCCAUGUUCUAAUUUUUUUGCUAGAGCUCUUACAUCUUGUGUAAAGAAGGGUAAUGGUGCCAGCUUAGUUUAGGGUAAGCAGUAUGUUGUAAUCUGUCUUGCUUAAUUUGCUGAGUUAUUCAUCUUUCUUGACGCACAGAUUUGUGAGUGGCCUCGCUCACUGAAUAGGAAGAAUACAGGCCCUGUGGUUUAGAUUUCACUGAACAUGGAAAAAUCUAGAUGGCCAGUUCUGCAAACCAAAAAUGUGUGUGAGCAAUUCUUCAAAUACACCAGGACUGCUAGUGAGACUCAGCUCUUGUGAGGCUAACUUUGCUGCCUAUUUUAGCUUACUGCAAAAGAAUGCAGUUAACAUUUGAGUAACAGGUUACUUCAGGUGCUAUACAAACAUUUUUGAAACUAAUUUCUAAAUAUUUUUAUAGACAAAUUAGCAGUUUGGGUAUCUUAAACUGAUAAAGAAAAAUGUCAGCAAAUAAAAGUAUCUUCCAGGGAUGUUGAAAUGUGAUGAAAAGCAAAUGACAUCUGUCAUACUAACAUCCUGAAAAAUGCCCGAACUGUACAUACAGAGUGCUCCAGAGGCUCCCGUCUUAAUGAAGAUAUUCCAGCAGCAUUCUCAGCAGCUGCACUGGUCACAGUGGCAUAAGCUCUAGCAGAAACUGAAGUAGAGAGAUUUAUUCUACCAUUUAAUACCCAGUCUGAAAAGAAAAGGCAGGAAGAGUUAGGCUAUGCCAAGAGUUAGGCUGUGACAAGGUGAAGAAGUGAACACAGAAUGCCGUCCAUCUCAGUGCAGAUGGCAGCACAACUACUACUUUUACUUUCAGUAUGUGGAUUAAAAGCCCCUAUGUAGGUGUUGGGCAAAUCUUCAUUUUGCUUGGAAAAUAACUGUAACAUUACAGACUGUUGCUGUAUUUUAGUGUAUGUGCUAUGUCUAGCAGGACGUGGUCUUUCAGUGUUACCAUAGAACUACUAAUGAAAAACACCCUUAUGUAAAAAAAAGUUAUCUUCUGCCCUGCCACAUUAGCAGUAGUGUGACUUGGCUGCUAUUGAAAGAUGAACUUACCUUAAAAGCUGGAUUCUAUUCUUCCAUAUACAUUAGUGGAAGUAGUGCCAUCACAAGAAUAGAGACAAUGUGAAAAACAGCCUUUGUAAAUGCAAAGGACUUUAAAGAAUUUGGGGUGGAACUGGGACAGAGCCUUCCAUGAGGACUGGUACCUCUCUAAGGGCCUUAGCAGCUGGAGAAUGUAUUUUAAGUUAUAAAAUGUAAUUGCUAAGAAGAGCUGUAAGCAGGAAUCUAAUUCAACAUUUGCAUGGGCUGUUGUAUUUGGGAACAAGGUUUUUGGAGCCCUAUUAGUUGUACAGUAACACCUGAAAUGGGUCUCUGCAUAAAUGAAAUUCCCUCCGGCCUAUGUUGUCUAGAACUGACCUCCUACAGAACUGAAGGACUUUCUCACCAGUUGUGUAACUUGUAUUUCUUACACUCUCCUGAAGGGAACUAAGAAUUGACCUUUCAGAAAGAAAGAGUUUGGAGCAAUUAUGUGCACUCCAGUAGUCUCUUUGAAACUUCGUUUUAUAGAAUUAAACCUUAGAGAUUCUUUCUCCUGUUUUUCCUUGAGGCAACUAUAGUUUGAUCACUGACAUGCUCUCUCUGUGGGCUAAACCUAGUUUUAUUUUGAAGAAAAUGCUGAGCUCGUUGGAGCAUGUAACAUGCCAUACUGCAUUAUGUUCAUUUAGCCCAGUUGUGCACAUCUAACUGUUGCUGAUUCCCAGCGCUUCUGAGAGGAAGCAAAGAAAACUCAAACCCCAACGUAUUUUCAACAGAAUUGGGGUGAUGGAGAAUUCAUCCUAACUUGUUUCAACCUAGUGUUUCAACCUGUUUUUCAGUGCCUUUAGCAUCAAUAUCCCGAAGUACUAAUUGAGGACAGGAGAAUAUUGCACUUUCUCUGAGACCCUCACUGUGUGACCUCAGUGCCAUCCAGUCUCGCAGUCUAUCUUGUUCUUUGAUGAAAAGAUAGCACUUGGCUCCAAAUAGACUAGUUUUCAACUUCAUAGUCUGCCUCCUCUUGUACUACAAGACUAAGAAAACUCGUAAACCGUGUUCUCUGUUUUUACGUUUGUGAGCCCUAUGCGAGAUCUUGACCCAGAAUUUCUAGGGAAUAUUUACUAAAAAAGGACCUAAGUAAUAGCAUGCAUGCUAUUUAGAAACAAGAAAUCAUGUGGUGUAACAGGACAGAACUUUGAAAGGAGGAAAGCAAAGGAAGGCCAGUGGGACAGCAACGACUCUUUUCCCAAAGUAGUAAUGUCUCACUCCAAUUUAUAUAAAAGAAUAAUCUCUUACAAGUAAUUUAGAGCUGUCCUCUGGUUUCUUAGGGCAGGCGGCAGAUCCUUACCUCCUUCAGUAAUGCUUUCUUUGCUAGUACUUUCUGUCAAGUCCAGUGAAUGACCAGCAGCAGCUUAUGCUGCUGUAUGCUGAAAUGUCACCGCUUAAUUUCAGUUAGUCGCUUCCAAUCACCGGCUGUCCUUUCCUGCUGACUGUCCUACCUGUUUUUGCUAUUUGUUAAUCACUUAUUAGUGAUGCGCUUUUCAUAGGGAAUCACAUACGAAGACACAAGUAAUGCUUGUUGCCCAAGGAAGAUUUUUUACAGGAAAGAGCUGGUUUAAUUUAUUUAUUUUCUUGUUUGUUCUUCCUCCGAAGCCUCGGGCUUGCAUGUUUGAAUCUCUUCUUAUUUAUUUCAUUUCUUAGGUAAAAAGUUCUAAUUCAUUAGAUCCUUUUUUUUUUUUUUCUUUGUCCAUGCCCUUCAUGUCUCCAAAUGUUGUCUAAUUCUGCAGUCCUUUAGGCUCCUGUCCUAGGAUGGGGAGUGAGAGUGGCUUGGUGGGCAGCUGGCAGCUAUCCUCAGUUAGCCUACCUCUGGUGAUCAGGUCUGUGCACAUUUGGGCCCAGGUUGUGUGAUUUCUAUGUAUAUCAGUCAAACACCUCGUUGAUCAGAGCUACAGACUGUACUGCCUAAAUUAAUAGCUGUGUUUUUUUCACAGAACAGUUGAAGCUGGGAGGGACCUUGUGAGGCCAUCUUGUACUAUGCCCCACUCAGGCAGGGUGACCUAGAACCAUUUUUCUGGAAGCACUAUUGUUACCACAUCAUGUGCAAGAUGCAAGUCAUCUGUACUUCCUCUACCUUGUGUAAACUUCAUUUGCCAUUGUGCUGCCUUUUCAGGGCUGCUGAAAUUCCUCCAGUCUUUUGCAGGCUGGCAAUCGAUAUGAGGCUUGCGUGAGGGCUUAGCUGGAGCAAUGAGGAACAAAAUGCUCAACUAUACUUAGGUGACAGGAUAUCAUACAGAGAAAGAAAGGACACACCUUCAAAUUAGCAAAUGUGCAAGUUAGCAAACAUCCAUCUUUGUGCAAAGCUUUAGUGUUACGAUGAUGACCAAUCAGCAGGGCAACCAGGUUAACCCUCCUCCUGGUCUUUAGGUGGGAACAAGAAGAAGCAUGCCUUGUUUAAAAAGAUUUAGAUUCAUGAAACAACUUACCUAUUUUCGUAAUUUCAACUUCAGCAGCACCUGAAGUACCAAAUCUCAUACAAUCAUAGAAUCAGAGUUGUUUGAGUUGGAAGGGACUGUUAAUGUUCACAUAGUCCAACUCCCCUGUAACAAACAGGGACAUGUACAGCUCGAUUAGGUUGAUCAGAGCCCCAUUCAGUUUGACCUUGGGUGUCUCCAGGAACAGGGCAUCCCCGACCUCUCUGGACAAAAUGUUCCAGUGCUUUUUCCUUAUAUCCAGUCUAAAUCUCCCCUCUUUGAGUUUGAACCCAUUUCCCCUUGUCCUUUCACAACAGAACCUGCUAGAGUCUGUCCCCCUCUUUCUUAUUACCCCCCUUUAGAUACUGAAAGGCCACUCUCAAUCUCCCCAGAGCCUUCUCUUCUCCAGGCUGAACAGCCCCAGCUCUCUCAGCCUGUCCUUGUGGGAGAGGUCCUCUGUCCCUUGGAUCAUUUUUGUGGCCCUCAUCUGGACACUUUUUAACAGGUCCACAUCUGUCUUGUACUGAGGACUCCACACCUGGAUGCACCUCUGCAGGUGAGGCCUCAGAGGCACAGAGCAGAGGGGCAGGAUCACUCCCUCACCCUGCUGACCACGCUGCUUGGGAUGCAGCCCAGGAUACAGUUGGCUUCUGUAUCUGUCCCUGUACUCUCUUUCAUUCUGUUCACCCCGAGCUUCGUGAAUGACUUAUCAUAGAAAGUCAUUAACAGAAUUCAGACCCUUAAGGAAUCUAAAUUAAACUAAUUACUCAUUUCAAUUGUAUCAUAUUUCAUUGCUUUAGUACUCACUAUAUCCUAACUCAUUUGGUUCAACUGCCAGCAUUCUUUAAGGAGAUCCAAAGAUUAUUAUCUUUUAAUAAUUUUUCUAGAAGUAAAUACUGCUAAAUCGUUCAGCCCUUCUUCACACACGGUGAAACGAAGAAGAGCAGCUUUUAAAAAUAUUAUUUUUAACAUAAAUAAAAUUUUUCCCUGCGCCAGGGAAGGUUCAGGCUGGACGUUAGGAAAUACUACUUUUCUGAAAGGGUGGUCAGGCACUGGAAUGGGCAGCCCAGAGAGGUGGUGGAGUCACCGACCCUGGUGGUGUUGAAGGAACGUUUGGAUGUUGUGUUGAGGGACGUGGUUUAGUGAGAACCAUUGGUGAAGGGCGAAUGGUUGGACUGGGUGAUCCUGUGGGUCUUUUCCAACCUUAGCAAUUCUAUGAUUCUAUGAUUAUUGGAGUAGCAGCACACUAAAUUUCUUAGCAUCUUAGAAUUGUCUUGCCUUUCUCCCUUUCCUUCCUUGUAUUUCUCCUUGCUCAACUCUACUUAAGGCUGAUUUGUUCCAAUAACAUUAAAUUGCAAUAUAAUACCUGUACAAGAACAUUUGCCCUCCUAAGUCCAAAUUACCUUCCAGACUCAAAAUUGCAGCUUUGUAGGUGUGCUAAUGAUAAAGCGUUGAGAUAUUCUAGCUUCUGCAAAUGAAGUCCUGAUACAUUCAUCACUUGCAGUGAUAGGGAGGUGAAGAAAAUAAUUCCAUAGGGGUACUCACGAAAGCAAUAGAGCUGUAGCUGCUUUUAAUGACACUGCUUUUUCCUUGCAUCAGCUCAGCCUUUUUGUUCUUCAAUUCCUUCAGAAGCCCAGAACGUCUGCUGACUUGCUACUUUCUACUCUGUGCUAGCAGAUUAAUUCUUAAAUAAACCACUGAUUCCAAAAUAAGAAAGGAAUUGUAUUUAUUUCUACUUCUUUACCUGAAGGUCAUGGUGUGAUUUUUUUUUUUUAAGUUACUGCUUUUUUUUUUCUUUCAGCAAAACUUCAUCAUCAAGGGCAACACACAAUUCAGCUGAAAAUAACAUCACCAAAAACAGCCUUCUAUUUUCUUCUAACUAGAACACUGUCUUAGUAAGAGUGAGCUGGGGAGCCUCGUGUAGUUUCCCCUUUGAACAAAUGAUCGGGUUUUUAUUUUGGUUCCAUGGGCACUUUUUCCAUCUUAUGUGAUGCUGGCAUAUUAUCAAAAUAUUGAGAAAUACUACCCUGUAAUCCAAAAACACAAAACUGAACAGUCCACUUCAGUUUUCACUUUUCUAAAUAUAUGUAAACAUUCACUGAAAUGCUCAUGUUAGAAAAGGAGCCUUAGCCACUCUGUUUGGAAGGGGUUGAGGGGAAAGGUAGACUUCCUUUUUGAAGUUCCAGCACAUCAAUUUUGGUAGAACAGGCUGACGACAGUCUUGAGACCGUGUUUGGAACUGAAAACUCUUAACUCUCACAGCCUUCAUUACUUCUGUUUCUUAAUAAGGAAGAUGCCAAGGAAGUAAAAUUAGAAGGGUACAGGACUUAAAAUACUUCAUCUCUAGGAAAAACCUCUGUAUUUUAAUAUCAUAUUGUUUAUUCACAAAAAUCGCAUGGCUGCAUCUUAGGAAAGCUUUAACAUGUAAUUUGGGGAGGGAAUGUGUUGAGAUAGAAUCAAAAGCAUUUGCUUUGGCUUUAACAGUUGUAUGUCUUUUACAAGCUUUCAGAUGCUUGCAUCCAAUUCCCUGGUAAUCAUAUUCUUUCUCUCUUUUUCUUUUUUUUGCCCAUAGAAGUCGUUCCAUCAAAAACAUUGUUGUCUGAACUGGUGCUUUUAACUCUGCCUAUUACCUUACCUCCCUCCUAUUUUAUUUCAUUACAAAUUCUUAACCUUAUUUUGCUGAAAUUAAUAUCUCCAGGGUUACCAAUGGCUUUCAUUUCCAAUGCUAUGGACCUGACCCAGACUUGGCCAUAUUACAGAUAUAAUAAACACUGUCACGAAAAAAAAACCAACGCUGUCACUGCAAAACAACCUGCACUUGUCAUAGUAAUUACAACUAUGAGUGAGAUAAAAGUGUCCAGCAGUGGCCAGCAGCAAGAACUGCAGCUAAGUGUCAGCUGUUAGAUGACAACCUUAUGUAUCAGUGAAGGCAUGUUUGGGUGACAUGACACAAGAGCAGUGACAUAAACAGAUUUGUCCCAGCUGGAGUACAACAAAUUAGACAGCUUGCCCCAACCUUAAUUGCAAAGCAGUUUAAUUUGUUAACGUGCCCUUCGUGCAUUUAUCAGCAGUUACAAAACCAUACAGUGAUAACGGUAGUUAGAAUAAUGGAUGAAAUAUAAUGAAUGGGUGAUCCAUAUUUUGUAUGCAAAAUUUAUUAGCAAAUUGCUACCUCAGAGAUGCAAGUACUGAAUCACUUAAUAUGAAUUGUUAAGGUCUGUAUUUUACACAGUUAAAUGAGCACGCUCCUCUGCAGUGAAUUUAUUAUGUUCAGUCUUGAGCUGAAAAUAAAUAAAUAAAUAAAUAUAUAUAUAUAUAUAUAAAAUUUGGCCCUGAGAUAGGCUGACACCACUGCAGUAUCUUCGCUGUUGUAUCAGAGAUUAAAUACCUAUGAGAAAAACAAAGAUGUGUUAUUAGGUUAUCAUAUGUGAGGUGUCAGUGAAGCUUUCAGGCUAUUUACCAUUCACCCAGGCCCUAGACGGUACAGCGUGUCUGCUUGCAGUAGCAACAACCAUUAGGAGAAGCAGUACUUUCCUUAAGUCUUCCACUGGCAGGAACUCAAUGGACUGCAGGACAGACCUUUUGCCAACGACUGCAGAUUUUCAACAGUAAAGGUGGCUGCUGGCCAGCAGAGUCUCACUGUGAAUGUUAAAGGUUAAGCCUCUUCAGCUAGGCUAUUAAAACAAAAGGCAGAACCGCUUGACACCAAACUAGCUGCCAACACAGCAGUUCAUUAGCAGAUUAUCCUGAAUACUGUUUUACAGACAUUUUGACCAGGCUUUGGAGUCCUGGUUUGUCCUUUCUGUUUUCUGUGCUCCUGAAGAGGAGGCAGAAUCUCUCUUCCUUGCACUUCUUGUACACCGGGGCUGUCCUCCCUCAUCGUAACACCUGUGAAGGGGAAUAUCCAGCUGCAGAGCUCUGGAUAUGAUUGCCUCCUGGAGCUGAGGCACUCAGCAAUAAAUGUCUGCACAGGUGCUGCAAACUGCAACGUCAGGGCACUGCAGGACUCCUAAAUGUGCUUCACACAACUACAGCACUAGGAAAAGGACAAAUUCUUCCCAUUUGCCACAGUUUGCCUUUUGAACUUGAUCAAAGCUGAGACUGCAUCGAUAUACUCAACAAAGGGAAUUUGGAAUAUUCAGCACCAUUACUGGAAUCCUUGUAUUUUUACUGAAAUCCGGUACUUUCUGGAAUGAGAUGCAUUUAGCUUUAAAUGACAGACAAACUUAACAUCAGACAUACAAAAACUAUUACUUCAGACAUUUACUGUAAUUUAACCAAAUAUCUUAAAUAUCUAUGAAUUGGAUUCAUCUAAUGACCACAAAAUUCCUUCAGUUCCAUUCCUUUCUAGCAGAAACUUGAAGGAGCAAUAAAAGAACCAUUAUCAAUGUACAUUAAGAUAAAAUAUCCUGUUAUAUUCACAUAUUAACAAAAUAUUAAACAAUUUGGUUUUAGGCCAUACAAUUAGUAAUAGUUGAAUUAGCCUGCAGUAUUUUUUUAUGAUGUGAGGUCUGCUUCUGCAAACAUAUUAAUAGAUAAGUAUGUGUGUACUGAGUCAUAGGCACACAGUUUCCCAGAAAGAGUGGCUGGGUUCCAGGCUCAUAGACAGAUCCAUGUAUAACUUCUCACGUUAGUGGUGAGAUAUGGGCAGAACCACACUUCUGUGCAGCUGAUGGCACAAACCUUCACUGAAUUACAGGUAAAAGUGCAUUGCAUAGCAUUUAACACAAAAAAAAAAUCCUCAAAGUUACCUUUUUUUUUUUAAGUUCUCCUUUCCAAAGUUUGCUGUCCAGUAAACGUCCCUUGGAUUGUACAUUUAGCAUUAACAAAAGUGACAUCGAACCCACAGUUGGGUAUUCCCUGAGCAGUGCUUUCUGUCUUUGCAGCUGCGCUAACAAUAAGACGCAUUGGCUCGGAAACCUUUCCUGUCAGAAUCGAUUGUUGCAUUGAUUCCUCAGAUGGGGCACCGAAAGCUCAGAAUAUGAUUUUUAAUGAAGAGCUGCAUGUUGGCAUCACUCCUGGAAGAUCAACUCUUAUAUCUCGCAGUUACAGCGCUCUUAUCAGUAACUUUAUAACCCACCUCUUAAAGAACUGUGUAAUUUAAGUUGAUAUGGAUAUCUGAAAGCUCUCUUUAUUGCCCACAGCUCCUCCUGUAGUUUCAGUUUCACGACUAAAGAGUACAAACACUAA